RNAcentral lists this ribosomal RNA (776 nucleotides) under uncultured beta proteobacterium. Its description in RNAcentral is "partial 16S ribosomal RNA". It matches the Rfam family "Bacterial small subunit ribosomal RNA", at positions 61 to 830 of the family's 1533-position model. The record is from RNAcentral. Lineage: Bacteria; Pseudomonadati; Pseudomonadota; Betaproteobacteria.
GUCGAACGGCAGCACGGGAGCUUGCUCCUNGNNNNGAGUGGCGAACGGGUGAGUAAUGCAUCGGAACGUACCGCGUAAUGGGGGAUAACGUAGCGAAAGUUACGCUAAUACCGCAUACGCCCUGAGGGGGAAAGCAGGGGAUCGCAAGACCUUGCGUUAUGCGAGCGGCCGAUGUCGGAUUAGCUAGUUGGUGGGGUAAAGGCCUACCAAGGCGACGAUCCGUAGCGGGUCUGAGAGGAUGAUCCGCCACACUGGGACUGAGACACGGCCCAGACUCCUACGGGAGGCAGCAGUGGGGAAUUUUGGACAAUGGGGGCAACCCUGAUCCAGCCAUGCCGCGUGGGUGAAGAAGGCCUUCGGGUUGUAAAGCCCUUUCGGACGGAAAGAAAUCGCCAUCGCUAAUACCGGUGGUGGAUGACGGUACCGUAAGAAGAAGCACCGGCUAACUACGUGCCAGCAGCCGCGGUAAUACGUAGGGUGCGAGNNUUAAUCGGAAUUACUGGGCGUAAAGCGUGCGCAGGCGGCUUUUUAAGCCAGAUGUGAAAUCCCCGGGCUUAACCUGGGAAUGGCAUUUGGAACUGGAAGACUAGAGUGCGGCAGAGGGGGGUGGAAUUCCUGGUGUAGCAGUNNAAUGCGUAGAGAUCAGGAGGAACACCGAUGGCGAAGGCAGCCNNCUGGGCCGACACUGACGCNNNUGCACGAAAGCGUGGGGAGCAAACAGGAUUAGNNACCCUGGUAGUCCACGCCCUAAACGAUGUCAACUGGCUGUUGGGGGA